RNAcentral lists this long non-coding RNA (986 nucleotides) under Solanum lycopersicum (tomato). RNAcentral's name for it is "long non-coding RNA (SLYC_LNC001223)". The record is from RNAcentral. Lineage: Eukaryota; Viridiplantae; Streptophyta; Magnoliopsida; Solanales; Solanaceae.
UAUGCGACGAGCCAGCCCAUUCUUUUGCUCCAACAGUGCCUUCAUCAAGUGCUCAGUCUCUACUAUUUGAUGCUUGUUCUCUUUAGCUAUUUCUGGCGAUGCAACAAUUGCUUGCCAUGCCAUUUCUGUAAAAUCUUGCUGAGUGAUCUGCCAUUACAAAACCAAUUAAUUGGAUCGAGUGAAAUAUAUCAGUCAAAACGGUUAUAUAAAUCAUCCAUAACCACCUCACUCUACUUGGACUGAAAUAUAUCAGUCAGAACGAUUAUAUAAAUCAUCCAUAUCCAUUCCACUCUACUUAGAUAUAUUUCAUUCCAAGUUGUAUAAUUUUCCCCUUAAGGUAAUUAAGGGUUCUCCCUCCAUGGGUAAAUAGUUGAGUCUCAACUAACUGGUAUUGCUAUCUCAACACUUUGCUUACAGAUCAUUGAUUCCAAGAGAUAUUAGGGAACGACUCUAUAUGCCUAACCAUUCGAUCACAUUUGCCAAACAAGUAUCUCACUCUGCAAGCAAAUAGACAUGCCAUAACACCCAAACGGAAAAAUGUGCAAGCACAAAGAAUUCAAUGCAUUUUGAUUGAUUCAUUCAAUGAGAGUGUGACUUAUCAACUGCUUGAGUACCACUUCAAAUCUUCCUAUUAUGGAUAUCAAUCAAGUGACUAAUUGGCACCACUUCCCUCAAUAAAUUGAUUAGAUAAAGUGGCACUCAAUUCAGAACCAAUAAAUUGAUCUGAUAAAGCGGUGAGCAUCUAAAUACCAUUUUGCACACUUCCACUAUAGAAAGCAAUUGCAUUUACAAUAAAGUAAAAUCCAUAAGUAAAUGAAUAAGUAGUAUUACCCUUCCAUUUGAAGCAUCACAACGUACGGUAAGCCUUGAGCCCUGAGAAAGUUUCUCAGUUUUCCUACUGAAGAACACAUCCUUCCUCUUCAGUUUCAACGAACUACACUUGCCAAGAACUCGCGAUUUGCCUGAGAAGUUCAGGUACGGCGCUG